Molecule: long non-coding RNA, 302 nt
Filed under: Helianthus annuus (common sunflower)
Lineage: Eukaryota; Viridiplantae; Streptophyta; Magnoliopsida; Asterales; Asteraceae
Description: hypothetical non coding rna
Source: RNAcentral
GUCUUUUGCUACUAAUAAAUCACCUGCAUUUUCAGCCGGUUUGAAGAACUUUGAACUUGAACGUAUUUAUUGCCAUCAGAUACACGGAAGGAUUGGAACACGACCCAACAAAAAGAUAUCGUUAUGUCAGAUCAUGGAAAUCCAAGCAAUAUGCAGCCCUAAAUAGUCAACUUGCACCGGUAGAUUUGUUCUGUAGUAAAAUAAAAAAAACUGUCUUGAUGAAUUAUAAGGAAAGUGUUUAUAUUAUUGCAAAAAAAAAAAAAAAAAAAAAAAAGAAAUCAAAAAUCACAUGCAAAAGUUAA